Molecule: non-coding RNA, 29 nt
Filed under: Mus musculus (house mouse)
Lineage: Eukaryota; Metazoa; Chordata; Mammalia; Rodentia; Muridae
Source: RNAcentral
UGGGUCUGUGGAACCUAGGAUGGCUUUGC